This 1407-nucleotide ribosomal RNA is filed under the name Palaeococcus ferrophilus DSM 13482. RNAcentral's name for it is "16S ribosomal RNA". It matches the Rfam family "Archaeal small subunit ribosomal RNA". Lineage: Archaea; Methanobacteriati; Methanobacteriota; Thermococci; Thermococcales; Thermococcaceae. The record is from RNAcentral.
GCCGGAGGCCACUGCUAUCGGGGUCCGACUAAGCCAUGCGAGUCAAGGGGCGCUUGCGCGCACCGGCACACGGCUCAGUAACACGUCGGUAACCUACCCUCGGGAGGGGGACAACCCCGGGAAACUGGGGCUAAUCCCCCAUAGGUUUGGGGCGCUGGAAAGCCCCCAAACCGAAAGCUCCGGCGCCCGAGGAUGGGCCGGCGGCCGAUUAGGUAGUUGGUGGGGUAACGGCCCACCAAGCCGACAAUCGGUACGGGCAGUGAGAGCUGGAGCCCGGAGAUGGACACUGAGACACGGGUCCAGGCCCUACGGGGCGCAGCAGGCGCGAAACCUCCGCAAUGCGGGAAACCGCGACGGGGGGACCCCGAGUGCCGUGGACAACCACGGCUUUUCCGGAGUGUAAGAAGCUCCGGGAAUAAGGGCUGGGCAAGGCCGGUGGCAGCCGCCGCGGUAAUACCGGCGGCCCAAGUGGUGGCCACUAUUAUUGGGCCUAAAGCGUCCGUAGCCGGGCCUGUAAGUCCCUGGCGAAAUCCCACGGCUCAACCGUGGGGCUUGCUGGGGAUACUGCAGGCCUAGGGACCGGGAGAGGCCGGGGGUACUCCUGGGGUAGGGGUGAAAUCCUAUAAUCCCAGGAGGACCGCCAGUGGCGAAGGCGCCCGGCUGGAACGGGUCCGACGGUGAGGGACGAAGGCCAGGGGAGCAAACCGGAUUAGAUACCCGGGUAGUCCUGGCUGUAAAGGAUGCGGGCUAGGUGUUGCCUGGACCCCGAGUCCAGGCAGUGCCGCAGGGAAGCCGUUAAGCCCGCCGCCUGGGGAGUACGGCCGCAAGGCUGAAACUUAAAGGAAUUGGCGGGGGAGACACUACAAGGGGUGGAGCGUGCGGUUUAAUUGGAUUCAACGCCGGGAACCUCACCGGGGGCGACGGCAGGAUGAAGGCCAGGCUAAAGGUCUUGCCGGACACGCCGAGAGGAGGUGCAUGGCCGCCGUCAGCUCGUACCGUGAGGCGUCCACUUAAGUGUGGUAACGAGCGAGACCCGCACCCCCAGUUGCCAGCCCUCCCCGCCGGGGAGGAGGCACUCUGGGGGGACUGCCGGCGAUAAGCCGGAGGAAGGAGCGGGCGACGGUAGGUCAGUAUGCCCCGAAACCCCCGGGCUACACGCGCGCUACAAUGAGCGGGACAAUGGGAACCGACCCCGAAAGGGGAAGGGAAUCCCCUAAACCCGCUCCCAGUUCGGAUUGCGGGCUGCAACUCGCCCGCAUGAAGCUGGAAUCCCUAGUACCCGCGUGUCAUCAUCGCGCGGCGAAUACGUUCCCUGCUCCUUGCACACACCGCCCGUCACUCCACCCGAGCGGGGUUUGGAUGAGGCCUCGUCCGCUGGGCGGGGUCGAUCCCAGGUCCGUGAGGGGG